AAAAUGUAUUAAUUAUUUAAAGAUGUUAUUAUUGAUUUAAUUUUGUUACGUAGAACGGAUCGCAUUGUUUUGACAACAGCAACAGAGUACUUGUAUCAAAUAUCAACAAUUGAAAAUUUUGCCUAAAGUGUUGUAUAUGUUCGGAACGAAUACAACCAAAAUCCUUCCAUCCUGUACGGUCAGUGAGAAUGAAUUCAAAAGAAGGAACCGUAUUUUGAAACACACGGUAUUAAAUGUGAUCCUGCCGCUGAUCAUUACAAACUUGCAACCUUAUAACAACAGAGGAUCGCCAAACCUACCGCAAUUGCAAAUACUUAUUGCAUUAAGGCAUAAAAAUGCAACUGGAUGUUUUCAGAUGGUGUGUGGUGAUCUAAACAGCAUAAGCCAAUCUACAGUCUGUUUAAUUAUAAAUAAAGUCUCUGCAGAGUUGAGUAAAUUACUUCCUAGAUUUGUAAAUUUUCCAAGAAAUAUGAACACAGCCAAAAGGAAGUUUGAAGAAUUAGGAAGAUCUAAUACUCACCAUGACCUAAACAGUAUAAUCAGAGAUAUUGACUGCACCCAUAUAAAAAUUAAUAGACCCAAAGGUAUCACUCACUCGGAAGCAUACAGAAAUAAAAAAGGGUAAUUUUCUGUAAAUGUGGAAGCAAUAAUAGGGCCUGAUAUGGAAAUAUUUGUUAUAGUGACCAGGUGGCCUGGCAGUUCACACGACAGCAGGAUAUUUAGAAACUGCCAGGCGUAUGCAAGGCUGCUAAAUGGUGAACUAGAAGGAGUUUUAGUAGGUGACAGCGGUUAUCCGGCACUUAACUUCAUGUUAACAACACUUUUAUAUCCAACGACAAGAGCUGACAAUAAUUAUAAUUAUUCUCAAAUAAGAACUAGGCAUAUUGUUGAAAGGGUUUUCGGAGUGUGGAAAAGGAAAUUUCCAUGUUUACAGCUAGGACUAUAGUCAAAAUUGACAAAUACUAGUUAUAUAUAAUUAUAGCUUGUGCUGUAUUAUAUAGGUAUACAGAGUGGGGAUGCUUAUGACGAUGGUGAUCUUGCUGACACCAGAAGUUGAGUAACACAGAAACAAUGAAAGAUCUCCUACAGGUCUAGCAUUCUGGCAAUCUGUGAUUGCACAAUUGAACUAGGUAAUUGGUUUGGUAAUAAAGAAUAUCAAAACAAAA
Pieris napi is the source of this 1166-nucleotide long non-coding RNA. RefSeq lists it as uncharacterized. The transcript is spliced from 2 exons. NCBI's taxonomy places the organism in Eukaryota, Metazoa, Arthropoda, Insecta, Lepidoptera, Pieridae. The record is from RefSeq and is a predicted model, not a curated record.